GUACCAGACUCCUACGGGAGGCAGCAGUGGGGAAUAUUGCACAAUGGGGGAAACCCUGAUGCAGCGACGCCGCGUGAGUGAAGAAGUAUCUCGGUAUGUAAAGCUCUAUCAGCAGGGAAGAAAAUGACGGUACCUGACUAAGAAGCCCCGGCUAACUACGUGCCAGCAGCCGCGGGAAUACGUAGGGGGCAAGCGUUAUCCGGAUUUACUGGGUGUAAAGGGGGCGCAGACGGCGAUGCAAGCCAGGAGUGAAAGCCCGGGGCCCAACCCCGGGACUGCUCUUGGAACUGCGUGGCUGUAGUGCAGGGGGGGCAGGCGGAAUUCCUGGUGUAGCGGUGAAAUGCGUAGAUAUCAGGAGGAACACCGGUGGCGAAGGCGGCCUGCUGGACUGCAACUGACGUUGAGGCCCGAAAGCGUGGGGAGCAAACAGGAUUAGAUACCCUCGGAAG
This 449-nucleotide ribosomal RNA is filed under the name uncultured bacterium. Its description in RNAcentral is "bacterial SSU rRNA". It matches the Rfam family "Bacterial small subunit ribosomal RNA", at positions 328 to 793 of the family's 1533-position model. The record is from RNAcentral.